Molecule: ribosomal RNA, 397 nt
Filed under: uncultured bacterium
Lineage: Bacteria
Description: partial 16S ribosomal RNA
Rfam family: Bacterial small subunit ribosomal RNA
Source: RNAcentral
AUACGUAGGGGGCGAGCGUUGUCCGGAAUGAUUGGGCGUAAAGGGCGCGUAGGCGGCGCGGUAAGUCUGGAGUGCAAGUCCUGCUUUCAAGGUGGGAAUUGCUUUGGAUACUGCCGCGCUUGAGUGCAGGAGAGGUUAUCGGAAUUCCCGGUGUAGCGGUGACAUGCGUAGAGAUCGGGAGGAACACCAGUGGCGAAGGCGGGUAACUGGACUGCAACUGACGCUGAGGCGCGAAAGUGUGGGGAGCAAACAGGAUUAGAUACCCUGGUAGUCCACACUGUAAACGAUGAAUGCUAGGUGUAAGAGGUAUCGACCCCUUUUGUGCCGGAGUCAACACAAUAAGCAUUCCGCCUGGGGAGUACGGCCGCAAGGUUGAAACUCAAAUGAAUUGACGGGG